This is a long non-coding RNA of Aquila chrysaetos chrysaetos, 6558 nucleotides long. RefSeq lists it as uncharacterized. The record is from RefSeq and is a predicted model, not a curated record. The transcript is spliced from 2 exons. NCBI's taxonomy places the organism in Eukaryota, Metazoa, Chordata, Aves, Accipitriformes, Accipitridae.
GCCGCUCCCUCCGGGCGGCCGGCCCCGAGGGAGCUGCCCGGCCCCGCCGCCGCGGGGACGCUUCCCCCGGCGGGUCUGAAGCCGAUGCCGGGGGAGAAGGGAGCAGGGGGAGAUUUGCCCGUACACCCCCCGCUGGGGCGGUAGUUCCCGAAGGCUCCUUAGGCCGCAGCCCUCGGCAUCUGCGCUGCGGCGGCGGCUGCGGCUCGGUGGGGCCCAGCCGGCCGCGGGUCGUGCACGCAGCAUCUCUCGUCCUCCGCACCGCCUUUUUUUUUUCUUUUUUUUUUUUUUUUUUUGGCUAAAUGAUUCCCUUUCAAGCAAUCUGCUUGCACCUUUUCUGGAGACGAUUGAAGUGGCUGUUUUGCUGGAGCGUCAUCUCGCUGAAUUACUUCUACAAUUUAUUGUGAGUAACGGAUGUCACUUGCAGGGAGGUUUAAUAAACAUCUCUCUGCUCGUAGCCCUGAAAUGGCUGCAUGUAGCGGAGAUGAGGCAUGGACUGGCUCACAGACAAGAGGGAGGAGUAGAGCUCUAGUCCUGUAACUAAAAACAAAUAAAGAAGGGAGGGUGCGUUAGACAGACUGAUGGAACCAGCCUCCCUUCCUGCUCGUGACGCAUCUGCCAGCAGACAGCAGCCUUCUCCAUGAAUUCACUGCUCGGAUCUGUGUCCAGCUCCCCUGUAUCACGCUUGCCAUCAAGACUGCUGAUUCAGUGCAGUUUUGCGUGUGACAAGCGCAGUUGGAUCCACACCUCGCUUGUCCGCUGCUUGGUGGACACAUCCCUAAUAACCCACAGCUGUUGCAGGGUGACUGCUCCAGCACACAAGUCAAAAAGCCCCUGAAAAACAUCCACCCCAAAAAAGCAAAGACCACCUGAAGGAUAAUCAAAACAUGUACUGGGGAAGUGUCUGUGUCAGUCCAGUGCUCCAGAAUUCCCAAGCCAAGCAAAACCCGGCACAGUGCCUGCUUUGGGCAGGGCACUCCCAACACUGCUGACAGCAUUUGAUGUAAGGCUCUGGCCAGCCGGCAGAUUCGCAAACCCCAGCGUUUCCAGGGGCUUUGUUUGCGACAGCAGUCCCGCUCAUUACGCAAAUGCAGUCUGCUGACCGAGGCCAGCAGGAGUUUUGCAUGAAUGUGGCCGAGGCCAGCAGGAGUUUUGCAUGAAUGUGGCCUUGUCCUGCAGGGCUGCUCUCCAGGCUGGGCUGGCCCUGGAGCCGUGUCAGCCGGGCGCGGGCUGGGGCUGCUCAGGAAGUGGAGCACAAAGGCAGGAAAGCAGCCAGGAGGGCAGAGGCCUGGAGCAGGCUGCACAUCAUCUGGCUCUGCAAUGUGGCAUGUUUAUGGGUGUUUGGAUGGCUGCAGUGGGAAAAGGAGGAGGUGCAUGUCCAGUUGCACGACAGGACCGCAGUCUGGCUUGGACAGUUACUUUACACCUUUGUUUGCUGUUGCUCAACUCUGAGAAAUACAGAUGUGCCUUUCUGAUGUCUGGGCAUCUCCCAUGCCCCAAAUUAGGAAGAAGCAGUCAAAUCACAAUCCUCUGUCUCCCACUGCUCUUCCUAGGAGCUUUCCUAGCAUUUGUCCUUUCAGUGGUUUAUUUUCACAGUUGCCAGGGCUCUUGUGGUGGAUGAAACGUGCUGGCCAGGAGGUAGCCGCUAUAGACACCUGAGCCUCCUGCUGCUCCUUCUGAGCCUCUGGCAGGGCGGUGAGGAGGAUGUGCCCACAGCAGGAGCAGUGCCAGCCUGCCCUGCGCAGCUCUUUGUUCUACCUCCCUCUCCUCCGCUCCCCAAGACACUGGAACAACAAAGAGGCAGGAGAUAAGAAAGCCUGGCUGUGGUUUGCCGGUCAGCAGUCAGCUGCCUGUGGGAGCUCGGCUUUGACCCCAGGGCUUAUUAAGGAUGGACCCCGGCAGGACCAGGCCCACAAAAGCCUUCCCUCACCCUGUGAGGCUGCCUGCGACCCUGCUCGGGGCCGGCGGCUGACUGCCUGCCGUGGGACGUCUCCACACCGGGCCGCAGGCGAAGUGCUCGGAGCCAUUUCCCACUCAGGCCUUGACCUGAUGCCACCAUCUCCCUGCUUCUGCUCUGCUGGUGCUGCCCACGUUCCCUGAGACCACCCGCUCCCAGGCCACCCCCAGCUGCAGACCAGCGCAGGGGGUUGGCUCUGGAGGGGGCUGUGGUAAGACCCCAGGGUGCCAGGGCCCACGGUGAUGUUUUCAGGGCUGUAUAUUUUGGCAUCCUGGAUCUACAGCAAGUGUUGACCUCAAUCCAUCUAUCUGGGUUUGUUGGGAACUCGAGAGAAAGAUUCCUCCUGCCUCUGUUCUGACUUUUUCUCACCUGUGUCUGCGGAGUGUUGGAUUGCACGCAGAGGUAGACACAGAUGAGAUCUCCCAGCCGCAUCACAUGUACCAGGAAUGCUGUGCCUCCUGGAUGACACCGUGCCUGUAUCACAGUAAAUUACAUUUAGAUUUGACAGGUAGAACAGCAGGUGGAAGAGAUCUGACACAACGCCUCAGACAUACCUGCCACUCACAGCCAUAGUUCCCUGCGCUGCUGUUUUGAUCACAGUAACAAUGGAGGCGAUUGUCAAGUGGUAACUGAUGCUCAGCGAACGUCAGUUCACUUCUCAUAGUGACAGCAGACUGAAGAAAUCCUCCCAGCACAGAGUAUCAUUCCCACAAAGAACACUGCCUUAGCUGGGCUAAGACUGCUCCAGCAUCUUCUCCUUGCACAAACCCAAACAGCAGAGGCUGCGGAAGCGCAGCACAAGCAAGCAGCACAGUUAAUGCGAGGCCAGAUUCCAGGUGCGCACAGAACAGCAUCCCACCAUGUGCCCCUCUGGAGGCAGGCACCUUCUCUACUGCGGGUCCUUGGAGAAAUCCUGUGAAAUGAGAAUCUUUCUCCUUAACUUCAACCUUCCACCACAGCAUCAAUAAUUUACUGACAAUUACUGUCCCAAAAUAACCGGCUUAGCACAUCCACAUGCUGUGCAUCCAUUAGAAGCCGAUUAUUUGUUCAGCAUGUCUUAUCUCACUGAAAACGCACAAACUUCCCUUCAGUGUGCUCAUCGUGGAUUUCAAGGGACUAAGUAACCAUAUGACAUGCAGGACCAGGUAGCAUCGUGUGUGUGUGUGUGUGUGUGUGUGUGUGUAUUGCAAUGGGAGAUGGUUUUCUCUGCACCAUUGAAAACUCUGCUGCUGCUCAAGGGUCCCAGUUCCUGGCAAGUCCCUGCACUGCUGCGCACCAACAGUGCCAGCAGCUCGUCAUUCACCCGGCUCACCCCUGGCACGUAAGCUGCUUUGCAAGGAAAAGCAAGCACGGUACUGAAACGCAGCAGGGUGCAGCAGUGGGGCAGCUGAGGCCGAGACCUUCACCUGCACCCAGCCCAGCUGGAGCAGCCCCCGAGGGAAGCCCCAUCCCUCAGACUGCAGCAGGGACCUUCCCACUGGCCUGCGGCCCCACUGGGUGUAAGGGAGGGACCCAACCCAGCCUGGGCACACACAGCCCAUAGGAUGCUGCCUCACUGUGUUGGGCUUGCUUAAAGGAAGACUUUAAAAAGAAAACCAUUUUUUUCCCCAAUUUGUGUUUGGGAUACGCAAUUCAUGUUGGAAAUUAAAUGGAAAAGAAGCUGAAGUUUUAAGGGUUCAUUUCUGUUCAUUCCCUGCCUGUCCCAUCUCCACCCCUCUCCGCAUGAAAAAGAAUUGCAAAACUGAAAAUACUUCAUUUUGAUGAGUGAUUUCAAACAUGAAGGUGGUGGAGAUCACUCCUACUGCUGGAGAAACUAUUUCCAUUGAGAACCUCUGCCAGGGAGCGUCCAGCUGGGCUCGCUCAGUCGCUCCAACAGCUGGUGCUGUGUGCCGGAGCUGCGGCCAUGCUGGCGCUGGCAGCCCUGGCAGAAAGGGUGCGAUGGGACCGACGGUGUGUGUGCUGCACUGUCUCCACCCGGAGCGAGGCGAGGGGAAGGCCAGCGCAGCAGUGGAAGCUGCAUUUCAAGUAGCUGGAUCCGGUGUGGGAGGGGAUGUGUGUGGCGAGGAGGUUUCCACACCCAAGGGGACAGAAUCAGAGAGCCAGCCAUUUUCCUCCUCCCACCCUGACCCUCUUUGUGUGCCUUCAGUGCUGCAAGUCCCUGCCCCUCCGAAGAGCCUCUUGUUCCCUGCAGGAGAGCGAUCAGCCUGCAGCCAACCUGUGGAGUCCCCCCAGCCGCCCACAUGUCUCGCCAGCUGGUGCUGGGCCUGAUAAAUCCUAAGGAGAGUUGUCCUGAGAGAGAGGGGAAAAAAUGGAGCUGCUCGCCUCCUGAGGAGUGUUGCAGAGGCUCCAGAUCACUUUCUUGAUACAGAGAAAUCCGCAGCAGUAAUUGAGGUAUUGUGCCUCCUCAGCCUGUAACACACAUGCUCCGACUGCAGUCUUUCCAGCAGAAGCCUUGUCAGUUGAGUGCCUCCUUGCUUUAAUCCCCGAGAUUGCUGAAGGAUGCUGCUCUCAUCUGAUAGCAUUUAUGGACUGUUAUAAUGAGCUUUGGCUUGCUGAGAUAAAUUAAAUUGCUCACCCAGAGGUGCAAACUUCAUUAAUGCCAGCAGUGAGUCAGAUCAGCGUUAUUCUAGCACAGAAUGUAAACCGGCUGGACACAUGAAAGGGGAUUUGGCUGGGAUUUUUUUUCUCUUUCUUUUAACCUUCCUAAUUGCUGUUGAUUUGUAUCUUUUUGCUGCGUGUGUUCAAACUCUACUGCUUCUCCACCUCUUCAUCUUCUAGGAGAAACCAUCAAAUAACACGCCAUUCAGGACUGAAUGAUUUAACUGCUCAGUGUUAACAGUUAGCAAUACUGUGCAGUUUUGCCUGGCAGGUUUCUAGCUCUUUCACAUAUUUGACAAGUCCAAGAAGAUACUUAAGACUAGAUCUGAUGAGAAAUUAAAGUGUGUCCCUUACUUCUGUCCCAGUUUAGAGGCCUACCAGUGGAAAUAAGAUGUUGCAGACUGAGAUAAAUGGCACAGAAAAGAUAGGUACGAAGUUAACAAUGCACACACCGUAAAAAUCCAGAGAAAGUGUCACUGCAUAAUGUGAUGGGCAUGAGCUCUGUCUGUGUCCUCAGGGGUGACACGCAUGCACCUCUCAUUAGUUACAUGCGUGCAUGUUGCGGCGGGCAUGGCCAUAUGACAGAGUACAGGAGAUUCCUCACUCGUUACAUUCACCUGUUUCAGGAGGUCUAAAAUUAGCUCCAGAGCCUGUGACUGGCUGUAGGGGACCAGACUUUGAGGCUCUGUGCAGGCACAAGAAAGAUGUCACAGAUUCCAGGUUUCAGGCUGUGGGUCCUUCGGUAAAGGUUGGUUUCUCCCGGUACAUUUCCCUAGUACAGGUCCUGAGGAUGUCUUCUAGUUUCUUUGUACAGGAAAUAACACAAAUAUAACACAAUAAAGUUCAUUCAUAAUAGCAAUCAAAAGCCCUGAGAGCAUGGAUCAGUGAGGGAGGAUCUAGCCACUGGAGAAGCAUUUUCAGGAGCAAAUGUGUGGGAGCCAUCUGUUGCCUCACCAUACGUGGUGAUAGUCACAGCAUGUCUCUCUCUGCAUCCUAUUCUGAAAAUUUACACCGUGACUGUAGGUUGCCUAACAUAUUUUGCAAGUGUUGCCUGCCAAAAGGUGCAUUGCACCAAAUGGGACACAAGGCUCAGCAGUGACAGUGCCCCAAGUGGCUCUGAGCAAAAGGCACUCUCAGCUGCUUUCCCUCCCCGGGGGAAGUGAAACGCGGGUCUUGAGUAUUCAGUACAGAAAGUUGCCGGCUUCCUCUGAAGCAGGGGCACAAUAAUCUGUUGGUUGGAGGCAAAAACUAAUUCCUGUUGAGAAAUAUGGUGAAAAGCUUUCAGAAGAAAGGGUAUUGGCCAGGGGAGCAGCUUGCUCCAGGUGACAGCUAUGGCCACCCAGCACUCCUUUACCUGCAGUCACAAGCACAAGGAACUUUUCUUUCUGUUCCUCCACAUAAAAGCUGGGCAACAUGCACACAUAUAAGAAGGCCAAAAAACCCUACAGGGCUUACAAAACAUGACACAGUGCUACACAAGCUCCUUUCCCUGGGGAGGCUGGAAGGAAACAAGCGUGUGACAGUUACUCAUCACAUUGCUUAAGGCAAGACUGGGAGGCACAGAGAUGCUGCAGCAAUACACAUCGCAAAGCUACAGAAUGAGGAACUGACUGACAACAGUUUCCUGGCCUAUAUAAUGCAGGAGUCAGACCAGGUGAGGACGUGAGCUACGCUACUGUGAUUCCAGGACAGCCUCAUCGCCUUGGCUCUGGGGUGUUGUCUGGUACUUGAUGAUAAGAUGAGGGGGGACCUGAAUUCUCAUUUGACCAGCUGAAUGUGCUAAGGACACACCUUCAGCCUGGCUUGCACUUGGCCCCUUCCCUGAGGGUGCAUCCCGAGGUACCACUGGGUACCUGUAUGGCACCAUGCCUUGCACCACGUCUCUGUUCGUUACUCAUCCCGACUUCCUGCACAGCACCAAUAUUUAUAUGUGAAAAAUGACUGUGAUUUCAGCAAAAACAAACUGCCCCCUCAGUCCAUUAAUAAAUCCUGUUUCACUGCCAAAA